GUUCAAGCGGUAGGAGAGCGUCGUAACCGGGCUGAAGUCGUACCGUAAGGAGCGGUGGACUGGUUACGAGUGAGAAUGUUGGCAUCAGUAGCGAGAUGUGGGUGAGAAUCCCACAGGCCGAAAACCUAAGGUUUCCUCAGGAAGGUUCGUCCGCUGAGGGUUAGUCGGGACCUAAGCCGAGGCCGAAAGGCGUAGGUGAUGGACAACUGGUUGAUAUUCCAGUACCACUACCAUCGUUAUUAUCGAUGGCGUGACGCAGGAGGAUAGUGUGUGCUAGCUAUUGGAUGCUAGUCUAAGCGUUUAGGCAGUGAGAGUAGGCAAAUCCGCUCUCAUAAUGCUGAGGCGUGAUGGGGAAGGUUCCACGGAACCGAAGUACAUGAUUCCACGCUGCCAAGAAAAGCGUCUAGAGAGAGAAGUAGUGCCCGUACCGCAAACCGACACAGGUAGGUGAGGAGAGAAUCCUAAGGCCGGCGGAAGAAUUACAGUUAAGGAACUCGGCAAAUUGACCCCGUAAGUUCGCGAGAAGGGGUGCCUACGAGAGUAGGCCGCAGAGAAUAGGCCCAAGCAACUGUUUAGCAAAAACACAGGUCUCUGCUAAAGCGUAAGCUGAUGUAUAGGGGCUGACGCCUGCCCGGUGCUGGAAGGUUAAGGGGAACACUUAGCGCAAGCGAAGGUGUGAACUUAAGCCCCAGUAAACGGCGGCCGUAACUAUAACGGUCCUAAGGUAGCGAAAUUCCUUGUCAGGUAAGUUCUGACCCGCACGAAUGGCGUAAUGACUUGGGCACUGUCUCAACUGUAAAUCCGGCGAAGUUGUAGUGCGAGUGAAGAUGCUCGCUACCCGCGAUUGGACGGAAAGACCCCGUAGAGCUUUACUGUAGCUUAGCAUUGAGUUUUGGUAUUGUCUGUACAGGAUAGGUGGGAGACUAGGAAACCAGGGCGUCAGCCUUGGUGGAGUCAACCUUGGGAUACCACCCUGACAGUACUGAAAUUCUAACUGGCGGCCAUGAAUCUGGUCACAGGACAUUGUUAGGUGGGCAGUUUGACUGGGGCGGUCGCCUCCUAAAAAGUAACGGAGGCGCCCAAAGGUUCCCUCAGAACGGUCGGAAAUCGUUCGAAGAGUGCAAAGGCAGAAGGGAGCCUGACUGCGACACCCACAAGUGGAGCAGGGACGAAAGUCGGGCUUAGUGAUCCGGUGGUACCUCGUGGGAGGGCCAUCGCUCAACGGAUAAAAGCUACCUCGGGGAUAACAGGCUGAUCUCCCCCAAGAGUCCACAUCGACGGGGAGGUUUGGCACCUCGAUGUCGGCUCGUCGCAUCCUGGGGCUGAAGUAGGUCCCAAGGGUUGGGCUGUUCGCCCAUUAAAGCGGCACGCGAGCUGGGUUCAGAACGUCGUGAGACAGUUCGGUCCCUAUCCGUCGCGGGCGUAGGAAAUUUGAGAGGAGCUGUCCUUAGUACGAGAGGACCGGGAUGGACUGACCUCUGGUGUACCAGUUGUUCCGCCAGGAGCACAGCUGGGUAGCUAAGUCGGGAAUGGAUAAACGCUGAAAGCAUCUAAGCGUGAAGCCAACCUCAAGAUGAGAUUUCCCAUAGCGUAAGCUAGUAAGAUCCCUUGAAGAACACAAGGUUGAUAGGUCGGGGGUGUAAGCAUGGUAACAUGUUCAGCUGACCGAUACUAAUAGAUCGAGGGCUUGACCAAAU
RNAcentral lists this ribosomal RNA (1697 nucleotides) under Clostridium perfringens. Its description in RNAcentral is "partial 23S ribosomal RNA". It matches the Rfam family "Bacterial large subunit ribosomal RNA", at positions 1219 to 2925 of the family's 2925-position model. Lineage: Bacteria; Bacillati; Bacillota; Clostridia; Eubacteriales; Clostridiaceae. The record is from RNAcentral.